UAGCUCGUUUUUUUUCAGGAUAAGAUAUAGUACUACAUUUCAUCAAUAUCAUGACAACCAAGAUACUAUGGUUGAAAUCCUAAAUUGAUAUCUUGAAGAUCCUUGGAGUCAGAUUUUAUUCCUUCUUAUAUUAAAAUUCAAAAGAGUCAACAUUAAAUUAAGCAAUAAUGUAUUAAUAAACAAUCACCUUUCUUUAAUGUUUAUUCAUUUCGUUCGUGUAUAUUUUAGAAAUUAAGAAAUGAAAACUGUAACUGUACUAAGUUCAAUUUUCGUAUCGUUUAUAUGCCUUACGGAAUACCGACCUUUUCCGGAAUCGACUUUUGUUUAAUCACCGGAAAUGAUUUCGAAAUUUGAAUUUCGAAACGAAGACAGGAUAUCAACAAAGAGAGCCAAGAAAAUUGUUUGUUACGUGAUAUAUACUCACUUGGAGCUAAAAGAAAAGCCACAAAGGACAAGUUCAAUAUGCAGGUUUACAAUUUGGAAGUGGCGCAGGUUCUUUGGAAUGUCUACAACCUUUCAGGAGAUUUUUUUUUUGAAAAGCAUGGCACAGCAAGAAAAAGAUAAAAGACACUACAAGACAUUCCAAGUGAUUUUGAAUAACACAAUUGAUUGACUUUUCAAUGUAUUCUUAAAUAAAUCAAAUACAUGUAGUUGAUGUAAAA
This is a long non-coding RNA of Mytilus californianus (California mussel), 662 nucleotides long. RefSeq lists it as uncharacterized. The record is from RefSeq and is a predicted model, not a curated record. The transcript is spliced from 3 exons. NCBI's taxonomy places the organism in Eukaryota, Metazoa, Mollusca, Bivalvia, Mytilida, Mytilidae.